This 258-nucleotide ribosomal RNA is filed under the name uncultured bacterium. RNAcentral's name for it is "partial 16S ribosomal RNA". It matches the Rfam family "Bacterial small subunit ribosomal RNA", at positions 99 to 353 of the family's 1533-position model. The record is from RNAcentral.
CGGACGGGUGAGUAGCGCGUGGGUAACCUGCCUCAUACAGGGGGAUAACAGUUAGAAACGACUGCUAAUACCGCAUAAGCCCACGGGUCGGCAUCGACCAGAGGGAAAAGGAGCAAUCCGCUUUGAGAUGGUCUCGCGUCCGAUUAGCUAGUUGGUGAGGUAAUGGCCCACCAAGGCGACGAUCGGUAGCCGGACUGAGAGGUUGAACGGCCACAUUGGGACUGAGACACGGCCCAGACUCCUACGGGAGGCAGCAUG